AGUCAGGCAAGAUGGAGCCCUCCCAGCUCACAGCUAGAGGCUUUAAGCAACCAGAAGGGGAUGCUGAAGAGUGACACGAAGAAAGAAUGCCUGGAGGGGAUGAGUGAAACCAUAUGAUGAUCGUCCUUCUCCAAUUAACUUACUGCACUCAGCAUAAUACCCUACAGUUCCAUCCAUAUUGAAGCAAAUGGUCACAUAAAUGAUUUUACUUACCUCCCUUUGUAUAUCUGUAGAACUUGCCCUCCUUUGUAGAAAGAACAGAGUACUCCUGCACAUCACGAAACAAGAACCAACCCCUCUCACAAUCACUGAGCACUGAGUGAAACCAUAUGAUGAUUGUCCUUCUCCGAUUGACUUACUCACCAUAAUACCCUCCAGUUCUGUCCACGUGGAAGCAAAUGACCUUCUAAAAGGAAACCCUUAUCAAACAAGAGAAGACCCGAAAACAGAAACUCUGGGAAGUCCUGGGAUGACAACACCCACAGUCAUGGGAAGCUCUGAACUCAACCUGGAUUAUAAAGCAGGAGUCAUAAACCUAAUGCACACAGGAGCCAGGCAGAUAACAUAUAUGAAUGAAAUGGGACAAAUGGAAAUUGUAGCAAAUUGAAUUUAUUUAGGUUUUUUAAUUUUAAUUUCAGUAUACUUAAUGCACAGUGAUGUAUUAGUUUAAGGUAUACAAUAUAGUGAUUUAAAAAAUUCUAUAUAUUAUUUGGUGUUUAUCAUGAAAAGUGUACUCUCUAAUUCCCAUCAGCUAUUUAGCCAAUCUCCCCACCCACCUCCCCUCUGGUAACCAUCCGUUUUUUUCUCUACAGUUAAGAGUCUGUUUCUUGGUUAAUUUCUCUUUUUAUUCAUUUUUUUGUUUAUUAAAUUCCACGUUUGAGUGAAA
Canis lupus familiaris (dog) is the source of this 886-nucleotide long non-coding RNA. RefSeq lists it as uncharacterized. NCBI's taxonomy places the organism in Eukaryota, Metazoa, Chordata, Mammalia, Carnivora, Canidae. The transcript is spliced from 5 exons. The record is from RefSeq and is a predicted model, not a curated record.